AUUGAACGCUGGCGGCAGGCCUAACACAUGCAAGUCGAACGGUAACAGGAAGAAGCUUGCUUCUUUGCUGACGAGUGGCGGACGGGUGAGUAAUGUCUGGGAAACUGCCUGAUGGAGGGGGAUAACCACUGGAAACGGUAGCUAAUACCGCAUAAUGUCGCAAGACCAAAGAGGGGGACCUUCGGGCCUCUUGCCAUCGGAUGUGCCCAGAUGGGAUUAGCUAGUAGGUGGGGUAACGGCUCACCUAGGCGACGAUCCCUAGCUGGUCUGAGAGGAUGACCAGCCACACUGGAACUGAGACACGGUCCAGACUCCUACGGGAGGCAGCAGUGGGGAAUAUUGCACAAUGGGCGCAAGCCUGAUGCAGCUAUGCCGCGUGUAUGAAGAAGGCCUUCGGGUUGUAAAGUACUUUCAGCGGGGAGGAAGGGAGUAAAGUUAAUACCUUUGCUCAUUGACGUUACCCGCAGAAGAAGCACCGGCUAACUCCGUG
RNAcentral lists this ribosomal RNA (490 nucleotides) under uncultured bacterium. Its description in RNAcentral is "partial 16S ribosomal RNA". It matches the Rfam family "Bacterial small subunit ribosomal RNA", at positions 30 to 507 of the family's 1533-position model. The record is from RNAcentral.